UUUUUUUCUAUUUUUUCUUUUUUCGUCAAAUAUAUAUUAAAAAAUACAAAAUAUUCAUUAAGAAUAGUGUUCUAAUUGACGAGCAGGUUAGGAUUUAUCGCUAACUUAUGUGAAUUUAUGUGAAAUAAUCCAAGGUUUGAAAAAUUCUCAAAAUUCAAAUAUUGUUCGGAUAACUGAGCAACUGGAUAAUAUAAAGAUAGGAUACUUUCUUUUAAAUCAGACUUUUGUACGACAAGAUUAUUAUUUUGAGUAUUGAUGUUUUCUUAAGAUCUACUUUUUCCUUUUUUUUGAUUCACUUUGUUUCCUUGUCCUUGAUUAGAAAGUUAAAGAUUGAAAUAACUGUUUUACUUCUUUAGUUUAACUAUAUCAUAUGUACAGAAAACAGUUCUUGAUAUCGGACUAAGAGAGGUAGAAGCACAAGAUUCAGACUAAUAUGAACAGAGAUUCGAAGAAAGUGACAUGAUACAGUCGUAUUCCUUGAAUCUUUUAACAACUCUUUAUUCUCUUAUCCUUCUUAAAGUAUUCAUACAUGUGCUUAUAAAAAAUUGUAGAAAGAAAUCUGUACGCAAAAUUUUUAUGAAAGAGAAUUUAGAAUUUAAUUUUCUGAAGAGAAAGAAAAAUUUGUCUUUGCUAAUUUCCUUAGUUAAAGAAAAUGAAAAAGGAUUGUAGCUAGAAGUCUAGAAAAUAUAGCAUUUAUAAUGAAGAAUCAUAGAAGAAGCUGCACUGCCAAUUUGAAGAAUGAUAGCUGGAAACAAAGGAAAUUUGAAAAGAUAUCUUUCGAGACAGACAUUGAGAAAUAUAUUCUGAUACAUAAUUGAAUUAGACAGUGGUAAUGAUGAUUCAUUGACAUUAGGAUCCAUUAUGUAAAAAUAACCAAAGCGAAUUUCUAUAAGAACCAGCAGAAAUUACAUCUUAUACAUCAAGGUGACAAGAAGUAUCACAGGCAUUUGCUCCUAGAUUCCUGUAAAUAUGAUGACCAUUUCAUUUUAUAAUAGUAAUGAAUUUAAAGAGUUUAUGGCUAUAUUGUAACUAGGAUAUCGGUGUCUUUGAUCCUAAAAGUGUUCUAAAGAGAUGACAAAAUCUCUAAAGAGAUGAAGAAAAUUUUAAAGAGAUGAUUAUGUGUAUAAGAAUAGAAACAAAAUUUUCUGUAGUAACUAGCAUAGCUUUCAUGGAAGGAUAUGGAAAUUGCAAGUCUUAUUAAUAAUCAUCUCAAAAUUAAUGAUAUGGGUAAACUUGAAAGAGUGAUGUCAGUGAAUUGUUUUUUUGGAAAUUGAAAGUAUGGAAUUGAAUUGAAGAUAUUGACUUAGAGACACCUUGCUUUUUGAGCCCAGAUAAACUUUUAGUACAUUUUAGUUUUUUUUUUUGAUGUGUGAACAUGAAUAAACUGGAGGAUUACAGUUCAAGAUUAUGUUUUUGAGGAUCUUUUUAAGCUAUUGAUGGACCAAUGCUUGAAGAUAGUAAUGUUAACUCCAAUUUAAAAAUUUGUUCUCUCUAUAAAGUUAUAAUAUGUUGACAGCAAUAACAAAAGAAAGAAGAUGCUCAUUAUCAUCAAUUACUAUAUUACAUCAAUCUGUUGCAGCAAUCCGGUUCUCAGAGUAACCUACAUAAGAACGUAUUCUAUAUCUUCUGGUUCCUUUGGCAGCUUCUAAGCUAAUGGUAUCUACUGAAUCCAAUUGGGAUUUUGCUCUCCAGCAGUAUUCUCCAACAGUAAUUACAUUUAGUUUAUAAAUGAAGAAUUUCUUAUGUAUAUCACUCAUAUAACAUAUAAAAUAUAAACGUACAAAUGAUGGAGAAAUACUCGAGUGAGUUUAGUUAUAUAACAAUCAGGAAGGAGGAUUAUUUCUUUUCAGAAGAAAAACGUACGCACGUCUUUGAAUAAAGAUUUAUAGGUUGAUGCAUAGAGAAAUGAGAGGAAUAUUUAUUAUAGUUUAAAUAAAUCUACAAAUCAUAGAGAAUUAUAACACAUAACAAAAAUAACAAACACAGAAAAUAGAAUAUAAUUUCAUUUAAAUGCCUAAUAAUAAAGAGAAAAUUUGUCAAAUGUAUACCAUUUUAUUGGAGACAUUCUUAAAUGGAAUAGAUCACUCCUGAACAUAUCAAACAUCGAUGAUACAUGUUAGCAAUGGCUUAGCGAACAUAGCUCUCUAAUUCAAUCAAAUUGGUUGGUCAAUUGUAAUAUAUAACACUCUUUAAGUAUAUUUUAAAUUUAAAAUUACUCCUUAAAGCUGAAUACAUGGAAAUCUUUUAACAUAUUUACAAUGGCAAAAUUUUAAGUUUGUAUGAGUAGUAGUAUAACAUGAUCUCUUGAUUAAGAGUUAAAACAUAAAAGCAUUUGCUGUUAUCUUUGCUAAGUUUUUCUAAAUAAAAUGUGGACAUGUUACUAUACUUGCAUUAUGGUAUAGAAUUCGACUUUCUUAUUGGAAUCAAAUGCGAUAAGUAUGAAGUUUAUAAAAACGAGUUUAUCGAUUACAUAUUUUCAUAUCUUUUCCUAUUCUGUGUAGAGACUCGUUUUUUUCCAUAAAAUUUUUAAUAAGUGUAUAUUAUGAUUGGAAAAUAUAAAUCUGAAUUUACAAAACUAUUCAAGAUAAAACUAACUUCUUAAACGUUACAAUU
Molecule: long non-coding RNA, 2613 nt
Organism: Vespula pensylvanica (western yellowjacket)
Lineage: Eukaryota; Metazoa; Arthropoda; Insecta; Hymenoptera; Vespidae
Exons: 8
Source: RefSeq, a predicted model, not a curated record